AAGUCGUAACAAGGUUUCCGUAGGUGAACCUGCGGAAGGAUCAUUAGCGAAGAAUUCGGCGUUCCGCUUCGGCGGCGCCCUUCGUCUUCCACCCUGUGCACCGUGGCCCUUUUUGCGCUUAGAAAAGUCGAGGAUGUUGAUACCAAUUAUGAAAAGACACAAAAUGAAGCAACGGAUCUCUUGGCUCUC
This 189-nucleotide unclassified non-coding RNA is filed under the name fungal sp. Its description in RNAcentral is "partial internal transcribed spacer region". The stretch from base 1 to 46 matches the Rfam family "Eukaryotic small subunit ribosomal RNA", at positions 1786 to 1831 of the family's 1831-position model. The record is from RNAcentral. Lineage: Eukaryota; Fungi.